Molecule: small RNA, 302 nt
Filed under: uncultured bacterium
Lineage: Bacteria
Description: bacterial SSU rRNA
Rfam family: Bacterial small subunit ribosomal RNA
Source: RNAcentral
GAAAGGGCUUCGGCCCCGGUACAGUGGCGCACGGGUGAGUAACACGUGGGUAAUCUGCCUUCGAGCGGGGGAUAACAUUCCGAAAGGAGUGCUAAUACCGCAUAAGACCACGACCCCGAGAGAGGAUGCGGUCAAAGCUGGCCUCUAUUCAUAAGCUAGCACUUGAAGAUGAGCCCGCGGCCCAUCAGCUAGUUGGUAGGGUAACGGCCUACCAAGGCGAAGACGGGUAGCUGGUCUGAGAGGAUGAUCAGCCACACUGGAACUGAGACACGGUCCAGAGUCCUACGGGAGGCAGCAGUGGA